This 464-nucleotide ribosomal RNA is filed under the name uncultured bacterium. RNAcentral describes it as "bacterial SSU rRNA". It matches the Rfam family "Bacterial small subunit ribosomal RNA", at positions 199 to 644 of the family's 1533-position model. The record is from RNAcentral.
GGAGGAAGCAGGGGAUCGCAAGACCUUGCGCUUUUGGAGCGGCCGAUGCCUGAUUAGCUUGUUGGUGAGGUAAAAGCUCACCAAGGCUCCGAUCAGUAGCUGGUCUGAGAGGACGACCAGCCACACUGGGACUGAGACACGGCCCAGACUCCUACGGGAGGCAGCAGUGGGGAAUUUUGGACAAUGGGGGCAACCCUGAUCCAGCCAUGCCGCGUGAGUGAAGAAGGCCUUCGGGUUGUAAAGCUCUUUCAGCCGGAACGAAACGGUCACGGUUAAUACCCGUGACUACUGGCGGUACCGGAAGAAGAAGCACCGGCUAACUACGUGCCAGCAGCCGCGGUAAUACGUAGGGUGCGAGCGUUAGUCGGAAUUACUGGGCGUAAAGCGUGCGCAGGCGGUUUUGUAAGUCAGAUGUGAAAUCCCCGGGCUUAACCUGGGAACUACGUUUGAAACUACAAAGCUAG